This 291-nucleotide long non-coding RNA is filed under the name Homo sapiens (human). RNAcentral describes it as "HSALNT0225712". Lineage: Eukaryota; Metazoa; Chordata; Mammalia; Primates; Hominidae. The record is from RNAcentral.
GCGGCGCCAGCCUAGCCCGAGGAUGGAGGCUGAGGCCGCCUGUUGAGUCACAGGUUGGAGUGCAGUGGAAAGAAAAAAGAAAGACACAGCCCGAUUCUGUUACCACCCUCAUCCUUUACCUUGGCCUUCCAACAUCUAUAAGAACUUAACCUGCCUUGUAAGGAUUAGAUGAGACUGUGUGCAUAAGAACCGACCGCCAGGCCCGUGGCAAAACUGAGAGUAGAUUGUGGAGAAAGCCAUUUGUUCUGACCUCCUCCCUUCUGUUUACAUACAAAACCAAAGCCUUUGUGA